Small nucleolar RNA from Nannospalax galili (Upper Galilee mountains blind mole rat), 124 nucleotides. RefSeq annotates it as small nucleolar RNA SNORA40. The record is from RefSeq and is a predicted model, not a curated record. NCBI's taxonomy places the organism in Eukaryota, Metazoa, Chordata, Mammalia, Rodentia, Spalacidae. The transcript has a single exon.
UGUGAAUGUUUUUUGUUUGUUUAAUUUGUGUACAAAGAUUUACAGACAAGUAAAAAAUGAGCCUUGUUUUGUAGCACAGAGUUCACUGAUCAUUUUGAAUUUUGAUACAUCUAAAGGAAACAUG